Molecule: non-coding RNA, 1347 nt
Organism: Callorhinus ursinus (northern fur seal)
Lineage: Eukaryota; Metazoa; Chordata; Mammalia; Carnivora; Otariidae
Source: RefSeq, a predicted model, not a curated record
UCAUGGCGGCCGUGGAGUAGGAGAGGCUGGGAGCGGGAGACUUGGUGCUGGAACCGUAGCCCAAGCCGGAGCCCGAGCCAGAGCCCAAGAAGGAGCGGCUGCAACGAGAAGCGGGUGGUGUUCCUCUUCGUAUACUGGGGCCACAUCCCGCCGCUCUUCCGGCCUGUGCGCGUGCGCAGCGGGCUUGGCACCACUGGCGAGGUCCGGCGACUUUUCUGUUAGCCCGUGGGUGGUGCGCGCGGCGCAGGGAGAGGACCUUCAAGAAGAAACGGCCCACGUAGAAUAAGGAAUACGCCCAUGGGAGGGGCCAUGGUCGCCCGCAAGCCCUAGUCUCUUCCGGGAAGGCUUGGAAGAAGUGCAUGCACCUGCUCGGCGUGGCCUGGGAUCUCGCCAGAGUCCAGCCUCUGCCCCGGCGGCCUAGGGACGGGUUUAGGUGGCCGGACCCCGAGCGCCCAGCACCGGCCUGGCCUACUACCGCCUGCCCUUCAUAGAGCUGCGGGGAAAUUGUCGUUUUUUGAUUGAUCAGUUUCUGAUGCGGGUUACAGUUCCCUGUUCUAGUGGACUUCACACCUUAUGGAGCCACAUCACACUGGAGGCCUGCAGAUGAAGGUGUCCACUGCUAACAUCGAGGAAGCGGGGAGGACUCACCAAGCAAUGAUGCAUGAAAUUGCUAUGCCCAAUUAAUAUCCUCCCAGAUACUUUUUGGAACCAUGGGAUAAUGUUUGCUGGCCUGGUGUUAAGCUCCGUCAUGGAGGACACUGGAAUGGCAUUGCAGCGAGAAGGGGUUCUCCUUCCAGGCUGCAGGUGCUCCUGCCCCGGGGGCUCAUGCCGGCCCCACUCCUGCUGGGCUGCAGCUCCUCUGGCCCCUGCUCUGGUAGCUCAGGACAGCUCGCAAGCACCCGCCCAGGCAGUUUGGUGGCAGAAUGUCUCCAGCGGGACACCUCCCCGCGAAGAACUUGCCUCCUGCACACCGGAGGGCAGACCAAGGGAUUUCCUGGCCAUUUGGUGAGCCACGGCUGUGCCCUCUCCAACACGGUCUGAAUCUCAGCUGGGCAGGGAAGGGGGGCAGGAUCCCUUCCCUUGAACACUCCCCUUCGGCCCUACCAAUGUCAGCCCCAGCCAUCCCUAUACUCUUACAGUUCUGUUUACCUCCUUGUAGCCCAUGUCUUGUUAUAGUUAAUAAUUUGAUAUAUUAAUUUGAUAUACUUACCCUGUUCAAACUUUUUGUCAGGUUUCUGUCUCUUAAUAAGACUUUCACUGAUAAUGAAUGAAUAAAUGGAACUUCAAUAUUCCAAACUAUUCCCAGAAGUUUGUAUGUUGCCUAUAAGAUGAAUGAUCCAAAUUUUU